This is a non-coding RNA of Bos taurus (domestic cattle), 72 nucleotides long. The record is from Rfam. Lineage: Eukaryota; Metazoa; Chordata; Mammalia; Artiodactyla; Bovidae.
UCCCUGAUAGCUCAGUUGGUAAAGAAUCUGCCUGCAGUGCAGGAGACCUGGGUUUGAUCCCUGGGUUGGGAA